RNAcentral lists this ribosomal RNA (253 nucleotides) under uncultured bacterium. Its description in RNAcentral is "partial 16S ribosomal RNA". It matches the Rfam family "Bacterial small subunit ribosomal RNA", at positions 524 to 776 of the family's 1533-position model. The record is from RNAcentral.
UACAGGGGGGGCAAGCGUUGUUCGGAAUUACUGGGCGUAAAGGGUCUGUAGGUGGCCAACUAAGUCAGACGUGAAAUCCCUCAGCUUAACUGGGGAACUGCGUCUGAUACUGAUUGGCUUGAGUGCAGGAGAGGAACGCGGAAUUCCAGGUGUAGCGGUGAAAUGCGUAGAUAUCUGGAGGAACACCGGUGGCGAAGGCGGCGUUCUGGACUGUAACUGACACUGAGAGACGAAAGCCAGGGGAGCAAACGGG